AAGCUGGAAUCGCUAGUAAUCGCGGAUCAGAAUGCCGCGGUGAAUACGUUCCCGGGUCUUGUAUACACCGCCCGUCACACCAUGGGAGUCAGUAACGCCCGAAGUCAGUGACCUAACCGAGAGGGAGGAGCUGCCGAAGGCGGGACGGAUAACUGGGGUGAAGUCGUAACAAGGUAGC
RNAcentral lists this ribosomal RNA (178 nucleotides) under uncultured bacterium. RNAcentral describes it as "partial 16S ribosomal RNA". It matches the Rfam family "Bacterial small subunit ribosomal RNA", at positions 1323 to 1500 of the family's 1533-position model. The record is from RNAcentral.